CCUAUCCGCCUGGAAACUACGAGCAACAGCUUAAAACCCAAAGGACUUGGCGGUGCUUUAGACCCACCUAGAGGAGCCUGUUCUAUAACCGAUAACCCCCGUUUAACCUCACCUUUCCUUGUCAUCCCCGCCUAUAUACCGCCGUCGCCAGCUUACCCUGUGAAGGUCCCCUAGUAAGCACAAUUGGUACAACCCAAAACGUCAGGUCGAGGUGUAGCGUAUGGAGAGGGAAGAAAUGGGCUACAUUCCCUAUUACAGCGAAUCACGGAUAAUAUUACUGAAACGUGUAUCUAGAAGGAGGAUUUAGCAGUAAGCGGAAAGCAGAGCGUCCCGCUG
This 336-nucleotide ribosomal RNA is filed under the name Epinephelus chlorostigma (brownspotted grouper). RNAcentral's name for it is "partial small subunit ribosomal RNA". It matches the Rfam family "Bacterial small subunit ribosomal RNA", at positions 864 to 1364 of the family's 1533-position model. Lineage: Eukaryota; Metazoa; Chordata; Actinopteri; Perciformes; Serranidae. The record is from RNAcentral.